Molecule: ribosomal RNA, 429 nt
Filed under: uncultured Nitrosococcus sp.
Lineage: Bacteria; Pseudomonadati; Pseudomonadota; Gammaproteobacteria; Chromatiales; Chromatiaceae
Description: bacterial SSU rRNA
Rfam family: Bacterial small subunit ribosomal RNA
Source: RNAcentral
UGGGGAAUAUUGGACAAUGGGCGCAAGCCUGAUCCAGCAAUGCCGCGUGGGUGAAGAAGGCCUUCGGGUUGUAAAGCCCUUUCAGUGGGGAAGAAAAGCGGUGUGUGAAUAGCGCAUCGUGUUGACGUUACCCACAGAAGAAGCACCGGCUAACUCCGUGCCAGCAGCCGCGGUAAUACGGAGGGUGCGAGCGUUAAUCGGAAUUACUGGGCGUAAAGGGCGCGUAGGCGGUUUAGUAAGUUGGGUGUGAAAGCCCUGGGCUCAACCUGGGAAUUGCACUUGAUACUGCUGAGCUAGAGUGUGGUAGAGGGAGGCGGAAUUUCCGGUGUAGCGGUGAAAUGCGUAGAUAUCGGAAGGAACACCAGUGGCGAAGGCGGCCUCCUGGACCAUAACUGACGCUGAGGUGCGAAAGCGUGGGGAGCGAACAGG